AUUGAACGCUGGCGGCAUGCCUUACACAUGCAAGUCGAACGGCAGCACGGGUGCUUGCACCUGGUGGCGAGUGGCGAACGGGUGAGUAAUACAUCGGAACGUGUCCUGUAGUGGGGGAUAGCCCGGCGAAAGCCGGAUUAAUACCGCAUACGAUCUACGGAUGAAAGCGGGGGACCUUCGGGCCUCGCGCUAUAGGGUUGGCCGAUGGCUGAUUAGCUGGUUGGUGGGGUAAAGGCCUACCAAGGCGACGAUCAGUAGCUGGUCUGAGAGGACGACCAGCCACACUGGGACUGAGACACGGCCCAGACUCCUACGGGAGGCAGCAGUGGGGAAUUUUGGACAAUGGGCGAAAGCCUGAUCCAGCAAUGCCGCGUGUGUGAAGAAGGCCUUCGGGUUGUAAAGCACUUUUGUCCGGAAAGAAAUCCUUGGCCCUAAUACGGUCGGGGGAUGACGGUACCGGAAGAAUAAGCACCGGCUAACUACGUG
This 486-nucleotide ribosomal RNA is filed under the name uncultured bacterium. RNAcentral's name for it is "partial 16S ribosomal RNA". It matches the Rfam family "Bacterial small subunit ribosomal RNA", at positions 30 to 507 of the family's 1533-position model. The record is from RNAcentral.